This 506-nucleotide ribosomal RNA is filed under the name uncultured bacterium. RNAcentral's name for it is "bacterial SSU rRNA". It matches the Rfam family "Bacterial small subunit ribosomal RNA", at positions 8 to 526 of the family's 1533-position model. The record is from RNAcentral.
AGAGUUUGAUCAUGGCUCAGGACGAACGCUGGCGGCGUGCUUAACACAUGCAAGUCACGGGGGCUCGCAAGAGCAACCGGCGAACGGGUGCGUAACACGUGAACAACCUGCCCUCGUGUGGGGGAUAGCCGGGCUAACGCCCGGGUAAUACCGCAUACGUUCUCUUUGGGGAGUCCUGAGGAGAGGAAAGCUCCGGCGCACGGGGAGGGGUUCGCGGCCUAUCAGCUAGUUGGCGGGGUAAUGGCCCACCAAGGCGACGACGGGUAGCUGGUCUGAGAGGAUGGCCAGCCACAUUGGGACUGAGGGACGGCCCAGACUCCUACGGGAGGCAGCAGUGGGGAAUCUUGCGCAAUGGCCGAAAGGCUGACGCAGCGACGCCGCGUGUGGGAGGACGCCUUUCGGGGUGUAAACCACUGUUGCCCGGGACGAACGAGCGCUUUCGAGCGCUGUGACGGUACCGGGUGAGGAAGCACCGGCUAACUCCGUGCCAGCCGCCGCGGUAAUUC